GAUGAACGCUGGCGGCGUGCUUAACACAUGCAAGUCGAACGAAGCACUUUAUUUGAUUUCCUUCGGGACUGAUUAUUUUGUGACUGAGUGGCGGACGGGUGAGUAACGCGUGGGUAACCUGCCUUGUACAGGGGGAUAACAGUUGGAAACGGCUGCUAAUACCGCAUAAGCGCACGGCAUCGCAUGAUGCAGUGUGAAAAACUCCGGUGGUAUAAGAUGGACCCGCGUUGGAUUAGCUAGUUGGUGAGGUAACGGCCCACCAAGGCGACGAUCCAUAGCCGACCUGAGAGGGUGACCGGCCACAUUGGGACUGAGACACGGCCCAAACUCCUACGGGAGGCAGCAGUGGGGAAUAUUGCACAAUGGGCGAAAGCCUGAUGCAGCGACGCCGCGUGAGCGAAGAAGUAUUUCGGUAUGUAAAGCUCUAUCAGCAGGGAAGAUAAUGACGGUACCUGACUAAGAAGUACCGGCUAAAUACGUG
This 481-nucleotide ribosomal RNA is filed under the name uncultured bacterium. RNAcentral describes it as "partial 16S ribosomal RNA". It matches the Rfam family "Bacterial small subunit ribosomal RNA", at positions 28 to 507 of the family's 1533-position model. The record is from RNAcentral.